RNAcentral lists this ribosomal RNA (501 nucleotides) under uncultured bacterium. Its description in RNAcentral is "partial 16S ribosomal RNA". It matches the Rfam family "Bacterial small subunit ribosomal RNA", at positions 30 to 523 of the family's 1533-position model. The record is from RNAcentral.
AUUGAACGCUGGCGGAAUGCUUUACACAUGCAAGUCGAACGGCAGCACGGGUGCUUGCACCUGGUGGCGAGUGGCGAACGGGUGAGUAAUACAUCGGAACGUACCCAGUCGUGGGGAUAACGUAGCGAAAGUUACGCUAAUACCGCAUACGUCCUGAGGGAGAAAGCGGGGGACUGUAAGGCCUCGCGCGAUUGGAGCGGCCGAUGUCUGAUUAGCUAGUUGGUGAGGUAAAGGCUCACCAAGGCGACGAACAGUAGCUGGUCUGAGAGGAUGAUCAGCCACACUGGAACUGAGACACGGUCAAGACUCCUACGGGAGGCAGCAGUGGGGAAUUUUGGACAAUGGGCGAAAGCCUGAUCCAGCCAUUCCGCGUGAGUGAAGAAGGCCUUCGGGUUGUAAAGCUCUUUCGGCAGGAACGAAACGCUCUAGAUUAAUACCCUGGGGUAAUGACGGUACCUGAAGAAGAAGCACCGGCUAACUACGUGCCAGCCGCCGCGGUAA